This 1430-nucleotide ribosomal RNA is filed under the name Staphylococcus edaphicus. RNAcentral describes it as "bacterial SSU rRNA". It matches the Rfam family "Bacterial small subunit ribosomal RNA". The record is from RNAcentral. Lineage: Bacteria; Bacillati; Bacillota; Bacilli; Caryophanales; Staphylococcaceae.
GUCGGAGCGAACAGAUAAGGAGCUUGCUCCUUUGACGUUAGCGGCGGACGGGUGAGUAACACGUGGGUAACCUACCUAUAAGACUGGGAUAACUUCGGGAAACCGGAGCUAAUACCGGAUAACAUUUGGAACCGCAUGGUUCUAAAGUGAAAGAUGGUUUUGCUAUCACUUAUAGAUGGACCCGCGCCGUAUUAGCUAGUUGGUAAGGUAACGGCUUACCAAGGCGACGAUACGUAGCCGACCUGAGAGGGUGAUCGGCCACACUGGAACUGAGACACGGUCCAGACUCCUACGGGAGGCAGCAGUAGGGAAUCUUCCGCAAUGGGCGAAAGCCUGACGGAGCAACGCCGCGUGAGUGAUGAAGGGUUUCGGCUCGUAAAACUCUGUUAUUAGGGAAGAACAAACGUGUAAGUAACUGUGCACGUCUUGACGGUACCUAAUCAGAAAGCCACGGCUAACUACGUGCCAGCAGCCGCGGUAAUACGUAGGUGGCAAGCGUUAUCCGGAAUUAUUGGGCGUAAAGCGCGCGUAGGCGGUUUCUUAAGUCUGAUGUGAAAGCCCACGGCUCAACCGUGGAGGGUCAUUGGAAACUGGGAAACUUGAGUGCAGAAGAGGAAAGUGGAAUUCCAUGUGUAGCGGUGAAAUGCGCAGAGAUAUGGAGGAACACCAGUGGCGAAGGCGACUUUCUGGUCUGUAACUGACGCUGAUGUGCGAAAGCGUGGGGAUCAAACAGGAUUAGAUACCCUGGUAGUCCACGCCGUAAACGAUGAGUGCUAAGUGUUAGGGGGUUUCCGCCCCUUAGUGCUGCAGCUAACGCAUUAAGCACUCCGCCUGGGGAGUACGACCGCAAGGUUGAAACUCAAAGGAAUUGACGGGGACCCGCACAAGCGGUGGAGCAUGUGGUUUAAUUCGAAGCAACGCGAAGAACCUUACCAAAUCUUGACAUCCUUUGAAAACUCUAGAGAUAGAGCCUUCCCCUUCGGGGGACAAAGUGACAGGUGGUGCAUGGUUGUCGUCAGCUCGUGUCGUGAGAUGUUGGGUUAAGUCCCGCAACGAGCGCAACCCUUAAGCUUAGUUGCCAUCAUUAAGUUGGGCACUCUAGGUUGACUGCCGGUGACAAACCGGAGGAAGGUGGGGAUGACGUCAAAUCAUCAUGCCCCUUAUGAUUUGGGCUACACACGUGCUACAAUGGACAAUACAAAGGGCAGCUAAACCGCGAGGUCAUGCAAAUCCCAUAAAGUUGUUCUCAGUUCGGAUUGUAGUCUGCAACUCGACUACAUGAAGCUGGAAUCGCUAGUAAUCGUAGAUCAGCAUGCUACGGUGAAUACGUUCCCGGGUCUUGUACACACCGCCCGUCACACCACGAGAGUUUGUAACACCCGAAGCCGGUGGAGUAACCAUUUAUGGAGCUAGCCGUCGAAGGUGGGACA